UUGCUGAAACCCAGGCCGGUCUGUCCCUGAACCGCCACGGGAACCGGACAAAGAACCGGCGCCGUAGAAGGAGAAGUGGGGGCGGCUGCGUCCGUGGCCUCCCCCCGUUUCCUCCUCUUCGGUGAGGAGGAGGAGGAGGAGUAGGAGGCGGAGGAGCUGUAGGAAGAUGACGAGGUCGAGGAAGAGUAGGAGGAGCUGGGCUCCGGAGAGGCUCGCUUCGAAGGGGACGGCACAGGGGAAGUGGCCCUGGCCGCAGCCUCCUCGGAGCCGAUCCGGAGCGGGAAGUUGAGCAGGGCCCGGGAGCCCCGCAUCCGGUAGGCGGCGCGGUCGUAGGCGAGGGCCG
Molecule: long non-coding RNA, 343 nt
Filed under: Musa acuminata (dwarf banana)
Lineage: Eukaryota; Viridiplantae; Streptophyta; Magnoliopsida; Zingiberales; Musaceae
Description: long non-coding RNA (MACU_LNC006746)
Source: RNAcentral